RNAcentral lists this ribosomal RNA (494 nucleotides) under uncultured bacterium. RNAcentral's name for it is "partial 16S ribosomal RNA". It matches the Rfam family "Bacterial small subunit ribosomal RNA", at positions 355 to 841 of the family's 1533-position model. The record is from RNAcentral.
UGGGGAAUUUUGGACAAUGGGCGCAAGCCUGAUCCAGCAAUGCCGCGUGCAGGAUGAAGGCCUUCGGGUUGUAAACUGCUUUUGUACGGAACGAAAAGCCUCUCUCUAAUACAGGGGGGUGAUGACGGUACCGUAAGAAUAAGCACCGGCUAACUACGUGCCAGCAGCCGCGGUAAUACGUAGGGUGCAAGCGUUAAUCGGAAUUACUGGGCGUAAAGCGUGCGCAGGCGGUUUUGUAAGACAGUGGUGAAAUCCCCGGGCUCAACCUGGGAACUGCCAUUGUGACUGCAAGGCUGGAGUGCGGCAGAGGGGGGAUGGAAUUCCGCGUGUAGCAGUGAAAUGCGUAGAUAUGCGGAGGAACACCGAUGGCGAAGGCAAUCCCCUGGGCCUGCACUGACGCUCAUGCACGAAAGCGUGGGGAGCAAACAGGAUUAGAUACCCUGGUAGUCCACGCCCUAAACGAUGUCAACUGGUUGUUGGGGAUUUAUUUCUUC